AUAAAAAACCAAUGCCCUCUGGGCUCCUUGGUGAUUCAUAAUAACUUAACGAAUCGCAUGGCCUUGCGCCGGCGAUGGUUCAUUCAAAUUUCUGCCCUAUCAAUUUUCGAUGGUAGAGUAGUGGUCUACCAUGAUCUUAACGGGUAACGGGGAAUUAGGGUUCUAUUCCGGAGAAGGAGCCUGAGAAACGGCUACUACAUCCAAGGAAGGCAGCAGGCGCGCAAAUUACCCAAUGCUAAUUCAGCGAGGUAGUGACAAUAAAUACUGAUACGGGGCUCUUUCGGGUCUCGUAAUUGGAAUGAGUACAAUCUAAAUCCCUUAACGAGGAACAAUUGGAGGGCAAGUCUGGUGCCAGCAGCCGCGGUAAUUCCAGCUCCAAUAGCGUAUAUUAAAGUUGUUGCCGUUAAAAAGCUCGUAGUUGAACCUUGGACCUGGCUGAUCUGUCCUCCUAAUCGAGCGCACGGAUUCGGUCGGGUCUUUCCUUCUGGGGAGCCCUAUGCCCUUCACUGGGUGUAG
Molecule: ribosomal RNA, 516 nt
Filed under: uncultured fungus
Lineage: Eukaryota; Fungi
Description: SSU rRNA
Rfam family: Eukaryotic small subunit ribosomal RNA
Source: RNAcentral